UGGACAUAUUAUUGUAUUCGACUAUAUUCGACUGUAUUCACGACGUGAAAUAGGGGAUUUACACUAUUUUUAAAACGGAAAGUGAAUCAAUUAACAUAAUAGACUCCU
Molecule: microRNA precursor, 108 nt
Organism: Nicotiana attenuata
Lineage: Eukaryota; Viridiplantae; Streptophyta; Magnoliopsida; Solanales; Solanaceae
Rfam family: MIR6152 microRNA precursor family
Source: Rfam